UGCCCACUGUACAUUACACCACUUGAUACGAAAACUGAGGAGCAAACUACCCUUUUGGUUUACAUUCUCAGCAGCCGCCCAUCUCCUUCCCCAACCGCCACUCUCAACAUUCUUUCUUCUUCAAGGAGAAGAUAAGAACUGCUAAACUCCCCCAACCGCCACUCUCAACCGACUCGUAGUUUGCUGCUUUUUUAAAAAUUCAGGGAUUCAACUGGGGACUGAUUGUGAGGAAUAAAUGUGAAAGAAUAUUGAAGCUGCUGGAGAAAGGCCCUGAUCUGAAAGAAGAAAGGGACAGGGCCCGGAAAGUUUCAAGAGGGAUUCAAGGAUUUGGCAGCUUCUGCCACAGGGAUUCAUCCGCUGGGCAUGAUGUAUUGCCAGAAUCAUCCCAGAAAGCAUUUGGGAGAUGCAAUUCAGAGUUCAACCAGAAAAUCAAGUAUCUAAGCCCGGACAGUUCCAAUAUUGGUGCGGAUUCCAGAGAAAAUUUGGCUCCAAAUGAAGAAAGCGGGAACUUCACUGGGGAAUCGAAGCCGCUGUUGGAACAGCAGAAAGAUGAGGCAGUCGUCCUCUUAGGCAGCCACCUCCGCUGUUUUCUGCAACCGCCGCCAUCUGGCCUCGGUCAAUUAUUUGUUAAGUGGAUCCCCAUUUGGUGAUUGAUAGUGGUAACCAAACUUGAGACGGCAAACCAUCAGACUAUUGGCCUUGAAUUGGUUAAUGCUAGUGAAGAUGAUCCCGACAAGUAUUAGCCAAAUGAUACAGUCGUCGGCUUGUGUUUCACAAUGACACACACAAGAGCUUUGCAGUUUCUUUUUUGGGACAUCGACAUCCAUUAUCUUUAGAACAAAUUUGGCCUAUUGUAAAUAAGAAUUCUUUGUUUGUAGUACUUUUGGAAAAAGCCUGUGUUUAGACUUGAGGAUCAAGUUCCUCUUUUUAUUUUAUAUUAAAAUUACCUAUUGAAAAUUCCUUCAA
Long non-coding RNA from Sesamum indicum (sesame), 966 nucleotides. RefSeq lists it as uncharacterized. The record is from RefSeq and is a predicted model, not a curated record. NCBI's taxonomy places the organism in Eukaryota, Viridiplantae, Streptophyta, Magnoliopsida, Lamiales, Pedaliaceae.